AACGAACGCUGGCGGCAUGCCUAACACAUGCAAGUCGAACGAGACCUUCGGGUCUAGUUGCGCACGGGUGCGUAACGCGUGGGAACCUGCCCUUAGGUUCGGAAUAACUCCCCGAAAGGGGUGCUAAUACCGGAUAAUGUCCUCGGACCAAAGAUUUAUCGCCUUUGGAUGGGCCCGCGUUGGAUUAGCUAGUUGGUAGGGUAGAAGCCUACCAAGUCGACGAUCCAUAGCUGGUCUGAGAGGCUGAUCAGCCACACUGGGACUGAGACACGGCACAGACUCCUACGGGAGGCAGCAGUGGGGAAUAUUGGACAAUGGGCGAAAGCCUGAUCCAGCAAUGCCGCGUGAGUGAUGAAGGCCUUAGGGUUGUAAAGCUCUUUUACCCGGGAUGAUAAUGACAGUACCGGGAGAAUAAGCUCCGGCUAACUCCGUG
RNAcentral lists this ribosomal RNA (433 nucleotides) under uncultured bacterium. RNAcentral describes it as "partial 16S ribosomal RNA". It matches the Rfam family "Bacterial small subunit ribosomal RNA", at positions 29 to 507 of the family's 1533-position model. The record is from RNAcentral.